Long non-coding RNA from Drosophila simulans, 1068 nucleotides. RefSeq lists it as uncharacterized. Lineage: Eukaryota; Metazoa; Arthropoda; Insecta; Diptera; Drosophilidae. The record is from RefSeq and is a predicted model, not a curated record. The transcript has 2 exons.
AUCUGCAAAUGAUCAUGCGUCAGGUGAUCAGCUCUCGGUUUCUGGACAUUCCGUGCGUUCGUAAUUUGUGCCGAUCAUCAGCAGCAGCCCGCUGAUUAUGCUAAAGGAUCACCCGCUUCGCCUGCUCCCCGCGAUAUCGAUGGGAGUCGAACCGGUUUCACCCAUUUUGCAUGACCAACUAACUAAUCAUUCCUCGCAUUUGAGCCGCCCGACCCCGAAGUCGAGGCAAUGAAAAUGCAAAAAACACAUAAAUGUAUCUCAAGUGCUUGACAGGACUUCAAAGCGCGCAUCAUAGUGCGUGCCACGAGAGCAUCGGACAGACGGCCAGACGAGGCCAGCUAUCUUCCUUCCAAGCUGACUCCGUGAUGCCCUGUACUGGUCAAUUUGAGUUGAAAAUCACUUUUCAUCUUAAUUUCGCAUCGCAACAAUUCUCGGAAUCCUGAAGCAGACUCUCGAAAUUCUUCACCUGUUAGCUGUUAACUAUCGAUGUGCUCGCAUCGAUUCCAUGUAGGGUAUUUAGCACGCAAAUGGGAAACUAAUGUUUUAUGGUAUGGUCGAUGGUCGUCGGUUUAUGUUGUUGUUUCGCUUUUUGUUGCUGUUCGACUGCGUGUGAAUGUGCAGGCAGCAAAAACAAAAUCGAGAAAAAUACGACUACGAUGAAUGUGCGAGAGCUGCAAGUGGAUGUCACCACAUCCACAGCCACAACCACAUCCACAUCCACAGUUGCAGGGGCUGCAGAAGCAAAAGCAGCAGCCUCAUCAGAUCAGAAGCCUAGCCAGCAGAUGCCGCACAUACCAAGGCGAUACAGACACUCUGGGAGCAGGAGCAGUUGAGUGGAGAAGUGGUGCAGCGAUUCGGCGGCUGGUGGCGGUGGUUUAGCCAGGAGAUGCCAUGCUCCAGCACAGUUGGGUUCAGAAAUAUAUGUAGGCAUUACGAUUGGAUAAUAAUUAGAAUCAAUUCACAGCCUCGAAAGUUUUUAUAUAUCUCAAAAGCAGAGGCAACACUGCGUAUGAGUAAUUAUUUUUUUGAUAGAGCUGUAAUAAUAUAUUUUCUACUUUCUAAACACAA